Long non-coding RNA from Solea solea (common sole), 1862 nucleotides. RefSeq lists it as uncharacterized. Lineage: Eukaryota; Metazoa; Chordata; Actinopteri; Pleuronectiformes; Soleidae. The transcript has 6 exons. The record is from RefSeq and is a predicted model, not a curated record.
CAGGAGACGGACCUGCCCGGGGAUGUCUCCUGUGUGCCAGAGGGAGUUCCUCAGAUACUCACCUGGACCAGUCUGAGACUUCACCAUCUGGAGGUUAGAAAAAGCCACGAAAGAUGGAAGAGCACAGGGGGCGCCACAGCAGAUGAUCCACAUAUUUGAUUAAACAGAUAUUCUUUACACUGGAUGCUUCUUCACACAACCAUCCCAUUUAUCCAGGCUUGGGACCCUCCCCUGUGGCUGGGGUCAAUUCAUUUUUUUUUUUUUGUCCAAUUGUCCAUUGUCCAACAAUGAGCAAUAGGGAUUGGGUGCCGUGCUCGUCAACCCUUUGGUCUCAAGGCAAGUUCUCUUUCCGCUUGGCUAUGGGCUGCCCCGAAGAACACAGAAAAUGAGUAUUGCUGUGUUUUUUAUAUCUUUUUUGAUACUGAUGUCAACAGAUAGUUUCAUAUGAUGUUGAGGAUUAAGUGACAUUGACUGAUAAAGUGACACUUUGACAUCAUAAAGUGACACUUUUUAACAAGAGGUACAUGUGUUAAGUCACACGACUGUUACUACAUGGUAAUAGUGUGGUAAUAGUACGGCAAUAAAUGUGUAAUAGAAAGGUAAAAUGAUGGUAAUACUGUCCUCAAUCUAAUGUAGUUUCCAGUUUGUAAUAGUAUAGUAAUGAGGAGUUUAUAUCAGAGUGAUACCAUGUUGUUUCUAAGGUAAUAGUUUGUGUGUCCCACACACAUUUAUAAUUGUCUUCUCCAUUGUUUUACUUGGUGAUAACGAUAAAAAUAAGUUGGUAUAGGAUAAUAAAAACUAAUAUCUACCUCCUUUUUAGAAAAGGAUCAUAAUAUAAUAUCCUUCUCUUCCAAUCAGAUGAUUUUCCACCAAAAUUGUACACACUGGCCCUUUAACCAUCAUGACCGUGGAGACACAGUCGUCUCCCAGUCCGUCCUGGUCUAUGUCUCCCUGUGAGGGAUUGUCCACUGUCCUGCAGUUGUCGCAUGCGUCACCGUGGAGAUCCUUAUCGCUGUUCUUCUGGUUCUUAUUAGGACUGAGCCAGCAGUUGUCCUGCCACAGAAAAUGCGUCCCCGAUGGCGUCCCUGUCUGCGUCCUCCUGGCCAGAGUUUGGCACAAACACACAGUUGUCCUGGGGAGAACACACAGGGAAACACCACACGUAGAGUUAAGUGAUAAUACCAUAAAGGGGUUUGAGUGUAAGAGGAGGACAUGGGCUGUAGAAACAAGUACCUGCCUACAGUUGUUGUCUCUGCAGCGGAGCUGAGCGUCAGGAUAUCCAUCAAUGUCUGUGUCCUUCCCACACAUGUAACCGUUACCCGCCCAACCGACACCACACUGAACCACACAGACGACGCACAGACAGACAGACAGAGGGAAACAAUGAUGGGAUUCACAAACGUCCAGUUACCGUGGGCGUCGCAGGGGCUGAUUUGACCGUUGGGGCAGAGCCUGGAGCCGAGGCAACCUUUGACCUGGUCACCUGUGAAACCACUUCUACACUCACCGCAGCGGAAGGAGCCCUGGUCCAGUGUAGCCGAGAGGGCAUUUCCCACAGCGGAAACCGGGAGCGGUGUUCACACACGGGACGCCGGGGAAACACGGCUUAAACUGGCACUGAAACACAACAACGAAACAAACUAAAGAUGAAGUCAAGAGCUACUUCUGUGGUUUCACAGACACAUUCAGACAAUUCUCACUUAGACAUCAAGGUGUACAGAUAUGGAACUCUAAAAUUCAUAGAGCCGUCUUCAUUAGAAAUGUUUGAAAGAAAUGUUUAUUACUGUUGAUUCACGAUGUUUCAGAUUUUCUUUUACUAUUUAUUUUGUUACUCUUAUUACUAUUCACUGAUUUUUUUUUCC